AGUCGCGUGGCCGAGAGGAUAGGUGUUGGUCUGCAAAACCAUUUAACGGUAGUUCGAAUCUACCCGCGACGU
RNAcentral lists this transfer RNA (72 nucleotides) under Mucilaginibacter sp. 14171R-50. RNAcentral describes it as "tRNA-Cys". It matches the Rfam family "tRNA". From Rfam's summary of the family: Transfer RNA (tRNA) molecules are approximately 80 nucleotides in length. The record is from RNAcentral. Lineage: Bacteria; Pseudomonadati; Bacteroidota; Sphingobacteriia; Sphingobacteriales; Sphingobacteriaceae. RNAcentral also lists the same sequence under 1 other name.